AAGUCGUAACAAGGUUUCCGUAGGUGAACCUGCGGAAGGAUCAUUAACACGUAUCCAAACGUUAAAACCCCCCCCCGUGAACCUUCAUCCUGCUCUUGUAACCCGCGUAGUUCGCAAUCUCUGAUAAAUCAUAGCCCGGAAAGUUGUAGUGAUUCAGAGACCUCUGGCUACGUGCGAACAUUGGGAUCGAUUAAUGCGAAGCUCAAUGUAAUACAUUGGGUAAAAAAACCGAACAACUGUUAACAAUGGAUAUCUUGGUUCUC
RNAcentral lists this unclassified non-coding RNA (263 nucleotides) under fungal sp. RNAcentral's name for it is "partial internal transcribed spacer region". The stretch from base 1 to 46 matches the Rfam family "Eukaryotic small subunit ribosomal RNA", at positions 1786 to 1831 of the family's 1831-position model. The record is from RNAcentral. Lineage: Eukaryota; Fungi.